UUUAAGUAUAAGUUUAAAUACAACGAAACUGCGAAGAGCUCAUUAAAACAAUUAUAGUCUAUGUGAGUAAAAUUGCUACACGGAUACCUGUGGUAAUUCUGGAGCUAAUACGUGACUAAAAAUCCAAUUGGAUGUCGGUUAUUAGACAAAAACCAACCUGUGUUUACACGGAAUCUUGGUGAUCCAUAGUAAUAUUGUGAAUCGUAUGACAUUUUAUCGAUGAUACCUCACAUGAGUUUUUGACUUAUCAGCUUGACGGUAGGGUAUUGUCCUAUCGUGGCAUUGACGAGUGACGGGGAAUUAGGGUUUGAUUCCGGAGAGGGAGCCUGAAAGAUAGCUACCACUUCUACGGAAGGCAGCAGGCGCGCAAAUUGUCCAAUCCCGACAUCUUGGGGAGACAGUGAAAAGAAAUAUCAAUGCAGGGCUUUUAGCUCUGCAAUUGAAAUGAGUUUAAUGUAAAUUCUUUUAUAAGUAUCAAUUGGAGGGCAAGUCUGGUGCCAGCAGCCGCGGUAAUUCCAGCUCCAAUAGCGUAUAUUAAAGUUGUUGCAGUUAAAACGCUCGUAGUUUAAUUUCUGCUAGUAAGAUCGGGUCAUGUCUCUUUGAGCAUGAACUUGUUAUUGCUGGCAUUUAUCUGUCUUGCUUUGCAUGUAACAAUGCGAGGCAGGCGGAGUUUGUUACUUUGAGAAAAUUAGAGUGUUUCAAGCAGGCGUGAUGCAUUGAAUAUUACAGCAUGGAAUAACAGUUAACGAUUGAAAUCUUCAUUGUUGGUUUAAGGGUUUCGAUAAUGAUUAAAAGAAACGGUCGGGGGUAUUCGUACUUAGUCGUCAGAGGUGAAAUUCUUAGAUUGACUGAAGACGAACUACUGCGAAGGCAUCUAUCAAGGAUGUUUUCAUUAAUCAAGAACGAAAGUUAGGGGAUCGAAGAUGAUCAGAUACCAUCGUAGUCUUAACUAUAAACUAUGCCAACUAGAGAUCGGGAUUUGUCAAUCAUAUGACUUUUUCGGCACCUUAUGAGAAAUCAAAGUCUUUGGGUUCUGGGGGAAGUAUGAUCGCAAGGUUGAAACUUAAAGGAAUUGACGGAAGGGCACCACCAGGAGUGGAGCCUGCGGCUUAAUUUGACUCAACACGGGAAAACUCACCAGGUCCAGACAUAGGAAGGAUUGACAGAUUGAAAGCUCUUUCUUGAUUCUAUGGGUGGUGGUGCAUGGCCGUUCUUAGUUGGUGGAGUGAUUUGUCUGGUUAAUUCCGUUAACGAACGAGACUUUGACUUGCUAAAUAGUCGUCAUAGCUGUGGCUAUGAUUGUGCUUCUUAGAGGGACUUUGCGUGUAUAAUGCAAGGAGGAUUAAAGCAAUAACAGGUCUGUGAUGCCCUUAGAUGUUCUGGGCUGCACGCGCGCUACACUGAUGCAAUCAACAAGUAUUCCCUGGUCUGCAAAGGUCGGGUAAUCUAACUAGUAUGCAUCGUGAUUGGGAUUGACCAUUGUAAUUAUUGGUCAUAAACGAGGAAUUCCUAGUAAGCGCAAGUCACUAGCUUGUGCUGAUUACGUCCCUGCCCUUUGUACACACCGCCCGUCGCAUCAAUCGAUUGGAUGAUUCGGUGAAUGAUUCGGAUUGGGUCGUUGCUAGAAGUAGCUUCGUCCUUAGAAGUUUUGUAAACCCAAUUAUCUAGAGAANGGUC
RNAcentral lists this ribosomal RNA (1677 nucleotides) under Apolocystis bosanqueti. Its description in RNAcentral is "SSU rRNA". It matches the Rfam family "Eukaryotic small subunit ribosomal RNA". The record is from RNAcentral. Lineage: Eukaryota; Apicomplexa; Conoidasida; Eugregarinorida; Monocystidae.